Lyophyllum atratum is the source of this 101-nucleotide non-coding RNA. The record is from the annotation of a GenBank genome assembly. Lineage: Eukaryota; Fungi; Basidiomycota; Agaricomycetes; Agaricales; Lyophyllaceae.
GGCCGUGUGGCGAAAUGGCAUCGCGUCUGACUACGAUUACUAGUAUCAACUACUGUUACUUCGGAAUCAGGAGAUUGCAGGUUCGACCCCUGUCUCGGUCA